AAAACCAGAACAGUCACUUCCAGGUUUUGAUCAUUAGGGAGCCAAAAUGUCCGAGUUCCAGGGCAUUCAACAACCAAGGUACAGCUGUAUUUAAAAGCAUGCUUACACUGGCAACUUAUAUUUUGAAUAGAUAGCAGCAGUGAGGCCUCAAAUGUAGGACAUGCUUCUUAUUUGAGUCAUAAAUUAGUUUUCUGCAGAAAAUCAUCACCUGCUGGGUUGCUGUUUGUCCCCAGAGGUAAUGUUUGCAGUAAUCCCAACAUACAGUUGAGUGAUGGCAACUAAAUGUUGCACUUUCAAGAAACUAUCCUCUUUCUUCCAGGAUCCUAAAAAUGGCACCUUUGCUGAAGGGUUGCAUUCAUUAAAGGAUCGUAGAAAAGCUAGAUAUAUCCCAAGUGAUUCAAAUUGAGGUCCUCUGGCAGUGAGACUGGGAAAGCUGGAUUGAAUUUGGCCCUCCAAGACUUUUUAUUUGGCCCCUCAGACUCUCCACAACCUACCACCCCACUUUGCCACCCCUGGCUAGCAGCUUAAACUCUGCUGUUGCUCAUGAGGUCACCUGCCUAGAUGGGACCUUUAUAUUGUUGGGAUACUGCCAGGGAGACAUCAUCCAUCUAGGCCCCACGUCGCCUCUGGACGUCCAUCAAUCUCCCGUAGACACGCAGUAUCAGCAAUUAGUGACACGAGCUCCAGAAAUAGCUUGCCACAUUCCAGAGCUGAUGCACGCUCUAUCAGCAGAUAAUGCACAGCGAAAGAUGCACGCAGGAGAGCAUUGUUUACAAUUUUAUUCAGCGUUGGUCAGAACAAAGAAAACAUGACUGCCUGCUUCGGUGUCUCAGGCACAGAGAGAGAAAGGAAAGCAAAGACAAAACAUAAACUUCCUGUGAACAGGAAAUACGCAAACUCUGUGACUCACAAACCCUGCUCCCUUUUAAGGUGGAACGGAAAUAUCCUAACAUAUAUAUCCCCAGUUGAUACAGGAAAAUGAGAAUUUAGCUGGAGCCAUAAAAAGUAUGCAAGGAAGAGGGAAGUCACUUACUUGCAGGAAGCACACCAAGUGAGUAACAUAUAUACCCUCUCAAACAAUGACUUUUGACUUGUUCUAGUGUGUGUCCUGAUUUUCAGGAUUGCUGAGAGCUUUAAAAAGAAAGAGAACUAAGGCACAUCAGCAAAGAGGCACUUGAAAGUUUUGAAAUAAAAUAAUCCUGUACUCUUUGUUGCAGAGAGAGAAAUGUGUUGUUUUGAUUGUUACUUUUUUAGUUGCGCGUUCCCAGCAAUCCCUUUCUAUCUAAGAAGGAACAUCAAACAACAGCGAAGAAGAUGGGAAGAAAAAGGAGGCAGCGCUGUGAUCAUCCCUAUUGUGCUCCCAUCCAAGAAGAGUGGCCUAGCUUCAUUUUGUUUAGAAAAAAUGUCAUCAAAAGCUCACAAAAGAAUAACACUUGAGUGGAGAUGUCCUUGUGUCAUCGUCUGUGAUGCUGCAAUACUUUGUGGAGAGGCUCCUCUUAGCAACUCACAGAGAAACCUAUGAAGCUGGGCUGAGGCUGACCCAUUUUUAUGGUACUGAUGGUGACCUUCCUGUUCUCUGGUGCUGAUGCUGAUGCAAUUUAAAGUAAGUAGCCGUGGGCAUGUCAGCCAACCCAGAGAAUGGUUCUGGCCUGUUUCUUUGGGUUGGGGUGGGGGCAUAAACAGCACUGGUUGUCCUUGUGGGUGACAGAAGGAGCUUAAGCCUGGUGGAGAGCACAGUCACAGCAGUAGCUUCCCUGAAGGUGGGUCACUGUCUCUUACUGGGAAUGGAGAGGCAGCAAAGCAGUUAAAGGUAAAGGGACCCCUCACCAUUAGGUCCAGUCGUGACUGACUCUGGGGUUGCGGCGCUCAUCUCACUUUAUUGGCUUUACGGGUCAUGUGGCCAGCAUGACUAAGCCGCUUCUGGCAAACCAGAGCAGCACACGGAAACACCAUUUACCUUCCUGCCAGAGUGGUACCUAUUUAUCUACUUGCACUUUGACGUGCUUUUGAACUGCUAGGUUGGCAGGAGCAGGGACCGAGCAACAGGAGCUCACCCCAUCGCGGGGAUUCGAACCGCUGACCUUCUGAUCGGCAAGUCCUAGGCUCUGUGGUUUAACCCACAGCGCCACCCAUGAUGGUGCAAAUGCACCAGUGGAGCCAAUUCAUGCAUUUGCACCAUGCCAGGAUCCCCACUGUCUCCUCCUUUCCACACUGCAGGUCCCCCAGAAAGAUACUGAAAACCCACCUUUUCUCCAUCGAUUUCUCUUAAACAAUAGUUUCCCAACAAUAGCUAUCGAAAGCCAAUUGGAGAAGCAGGCAGAAAUUGUGCUUCUUUUUCUCUUCCGGACUGAAACAGCUCCUUCAGAUGUCUUUUCUUCAGGAAGCAGACCCGCCUUGAAACACAAAGGGCAGCUAUAUAUGUAUAACUACCUUCUAAUGACAAUGAGGUCCAUUUGGUAAUGAAUUUCUCUCAGUGUAACUCUCUGACUUCUGUUUCCAAGAAUUCAGCCAGCAGCAAUCCCUCGGCAGCUAUAUGUAUUGCCGUUUCCUGUAUUUCCUCUACAUCAGCAACACAUGCAUAAUUCUUUCUCAAUGAUCUUAUUAUAUAAAGCCAUCACAAUUGACCAGGG
Non-coding RNA from Podarcis lilfordi (Lilford's wall lizard), 2630 nucleotides. NCBI's taxonomy places the organism in Eukaryota, Metazoa, Chordata, Lepidosauria, Squamata, Lacertidae. The record is from the annotation of a GenBank genome assembly.